This 301-nucleotide ribosomal RNA is filed under the name uncultured bacterium. RNAcentral's name for it is "partial 16S ribosomal RNA". It matches the Rfam family "Bacterial small subunit ribosomal RNA", at positions 509 to 807 of the family's 1533-position model. The record is from RNAcentral.
CAGCAGCCGCGGUAAUACGUAGGGUGCGAGCGUUAAUCGGAAUUACUGGGCGUAAAGCGUGCGCAGGCGGUUGUGCAAGACAGAUGUGAAAUCCCCGAGCUUAACUUGGGAACUGCAUUUGUGACUGCACGGCUAGAGUGUGUCAGAGGGGGGUAGAAUUCCACGUGUAGCAGUGAAAUGCGUAGAUAUGUGGAGGAAUACCGAUGGCGAAGGCAGCCCCCUGGGAUAACACUGACGCUCAUGCACGAAAGCGUGGGGAGCAGACAGGAUUAGAUACCCGGGUAGUCCCUGUCUCUUAUAC